Long non-coding RNA from Ostrea edulis (European flat oyster), 1419 nucleotides. RefSeq lists it as uncharacterized. The record is from RefSeq and is a predicted model, not a curated record. NCBI's taxonomy places the organism in Eukaryota, Metazoa, Mollusca, Bivalvia, Ostreida, Ostreidae. The transcript has 2 exons.
AUUUCUUUUUCAUUAUCUUUUGGAUUACAACAUUAUAAUUAUAUAAUGAUAAUUAAGUCACACACCAUUUCUUUUUUACGGAGAACAUCUGAUAAAGACGUAACUGCGUAUUUUCAGCAAUUGCGAUGUUUCACACUCACGUGUUCAAUUCAAGAGAGACGUAAAAUAUCUAUACCCGAAAUACAACGCAAAAACGUAAGCUGGGAUGCAAAAGCAAACUGUGUCAAAUGUUCAUUUCAUUUACACCGGUCGAUGUAGGAGGGUGUGCUGAAAAGCUAUAUGUUCUUUAGUGUGCAUUCUGCAGUCCUGCAAAUUUUACUGGAUUUGUUUUAAAUCUCUGAUGUGAAUUAUAUUCGUAAAGGAAUAUAUCUUGAGCGCUUUGUGAGAGCAGUCACGUGAAGAUACAAGGAAGAUCAUAAAAUUGAUAAAGAUGUCUCCACACUGACCUUCAAGAGAAUAAAAAGCCAUUUUCCGAGCAUGCGGUUUGUGUGACUUACUCUUUAGGAUGAAAGGAGCAGCUUUCCAUAGUGUUCUGUAGAAAUACCUAGGUCUUUAAGAGGUAUAGGAGAAAAGUACAAUAUGUAAAGGAACGGAACCGGAAAUGAGAUACAAAAUUCGAGGCCUUGCAUUUCCUAUCUGAUAUUUUCUUGGUGAAACAGUAGUCUGUGAAGGUCGAAAUCAUACCUGAUGCGCGGUAUGACACUACAGAAACACAUUAGAUGUGGUUCAUAUGGGAGAUGACGUGACUGCACAUUUGAUACAGACAAGGAAGUAGGUUUAUCCAGAAAGUUUAGUAACCUCCCCAUCCCUGCAAACGAAGUUUGGAGCAUAUCAGAAUACCCAGUCCGCCCGUCUGUCUGUUGGCAUAUUUUGUCUGCGUUUCUUCUCUUUUGCCAUAAUGAUAUUAGAUGCAAAUAAUUUGAUGGUGAUAUGUGAUUGGAUAUAACUUGUAGUUCAAUAAUGUGGUGUGUGAUUGGAUAUAACUUGUAGUUCAAUAAUGUGAUGGUGAUAUGUGAUUGAAUAUAACAUGUAGUUCAAUAAUGUGAUGGUGAUAUGUGAUUGGAUAUAACUUGUUGUUCAAUAAUGUGAUGGUGAUAUGUGAUUGGAUAUAACUUGUAGUUCAAUAAUGUGAUGGUGAUAUGUGACUGGGUAUAACUUGUAGUUCAAUAAUGUGAUGGUGAUAUGUGAUUGGAUAUAACUUGUUGUUCAAUAAUUUGAUGGUGAUAUGUGAUUGGAUAUAACUUGUUGUUCAAUAAUUUGAUGGUGAUAUGUGAUUGGAUAUAACUAGGGCAUAACCAUUUGGAUAGGAUAGGGAGAUGAUGGGCAUGUAAAAAUAAUGUGAAGAAAAUUUAGAACUGUCUGUUCGCAGAAUGUAUUUUACCUUAUAUAGAAGACUUGCAUUAAAUUAAGAUAAAACAA